RNAcentral lists this transfer RNA (73 nucleotides) under Ephydatia muelleri. RNAcentral's name for it is "tRNA-Gln". It matches the Rfam family "tRNA". Rfam says of the family: Transfer RNA (tRNA) molecules are approximately 80 nucleotides in length. Their secondary structure includes four short double-helical elements and three loops (D, anti-codon, and T loops). The record is from RNAcentral. RNAcentral also lists the same sequence under 6 other names. Lineage: Eukaryota; Metazoa; Porifera; Demospongiae; Spongillida; Spongillidae.
UAGUGGUUAGCCAAAGUGGUAAGGCAUUAAGUUUUGAUCUUAACUAUUGCGGGUUCAACUCCCGCACCUCUAU